UGAAACCAUAGUGACAGAGAAGGCAAAUGUUGGUCGGACUCUGGAAGGAAGAAAGGAAAACUGGCCCAUUCGCAAAAAUGGGGGGGAUGCAGUAGUAACAAGAAGCCAGCAGGGAUGGAAUGGUCUCUAGGUGUGGUGGGAGCAUUAGUGCAAAGGAUUAUCAGCCCAUUGGAACUGUUGAAAGAGGGCAAGAGGAAGAGAUGAUGACAGAGCACAAAAGGAGACAAACACUGAGACCCAUCCAGAAGAUUUGUUAAUUAAGAAAGGAGUUAACUAAGAAACCAGAGGCACAACUGAAAACACUACAAAAAAGCUGUGAGAUCCUCAACACCUGAAUGAGCAUAACACUAGUUCAUUAUAUGGGUGGGAAUCAGCUGGGACCUGACACUUUGUUAUUAUUUCCAUAUUUGGGUUGUGAUUUGAUUCAAUUAUUUAUGUUUAGUGUAUUGCAAUUGUAAUAUUUUACUCACUUGUUUCACAUUCAUCUUCAUUGGACUUUGGUGCUUUGUACAACACAUCCUGAGCUUUCUCCUAUACUUGAGAGCAUACGCAUUUCAGUGUUAGUAAACAAAUCAAUGUGAGGGAAUAUUGCACUUUUGUUCCAGUGUGUUUAUCAUUACACAAAAACCUUGUAGUCUAGCUGUACGUACCAUCAGUACAGACCUCGUUACAAACGAAACAAGUUAUAGGCGUCAUUCUUAGCCUGUUCGGAGUUUGCAUUUUGUUCGAACAGAAAUAAUGGAGAGUUCAUGACAUAAUAAUGUCACAGUAUGUUUUGUCUUUUCACACUAUGAGUGGUUAAAGGGAUAGUUCACCCAAAAAUGAAAAUUCUCUCAUAAUUUACUCACCCUCAUACCAUCCCAGAUGUGUAUGACUUUCUGUCUUCUGCAGAAAGCAAAUCAAGAUUUUUAGAAGAAUAUCUUUGCUUUGUGUCUGUAAAAUGCAAGUGAAUCCAUGUCUUCUGAAACAAUCCAAUCGUUUUUGGGUGAGAAUAGACCAAAAUGCAACUUCUUCUUUCCCUGUACAUUUUGCUACUGCAGUCUCUAGGCACGAUCAUGAUUUCAAGCUCGAUUACACUUCCUAGUGCUUGACGCAUGCAAAGAGAGCAAGAUGGCGCUAGGAAGUGUAAUCAAUCUUGAAAUCAUAAUCGCCAAGGAUAUUGCUGAUGUCAAGAUUUACAGUGAAAAAAUAGUUACGUUUUGGUCUGUUCUCCCACAAAAUCAAUUGGAUCCCUUCUGAGGAUAUGGAUUUAACCACUGGAGUCUUAUGGAUAAAUGUUAUGCUGCUUUUAUGUGCUUUUUAGAGCUUCAAAUAUUUGGUCAACAUUCACUUGCAUUGUAUGGACCAACAGAGCUUAAAUAUUCUUCUAAAAAUCUUUGUUUGAGUCCUGCACAAAAAAGAUGCAGUGAUGCAGUUUUGUAAGGCAAAAUAUUGCAAUACUCGGAAAUAUUAAUUUUUACCCCCUCCUCUGUUUAUUAUUGCACUGAUAAUAAAAAAUAAAAAAAAAAUUUCCCUUUAGUUCUUUAUCUGAUUUUGUUUCCUAACAGCAUUGUUUUCCAAAGUAUGCAGUACUGGAGAACGUUUUUGAAAUGCUCAUUUUCGAUUGAGGGAAAUGCUGUUUCAGUGAGGAUUAGAUGAGAUGACAACAAAGAUGGGAAGAGUCAGGUUUAAGCCAAAAAAGAGAAGCAAAGUAAUAAACAAAAUUCCUUAAUAAGUGGGAAAAGAAUAAGUGAAUGAAGCUAGUGACUGAGGGUGACAAUAGAAAUCCCUGAGCUGACGAGUUGGAGGGUCACAGAGGAUUAGUAGGCCUCCGGUUUCCACUAUAGCUUGUCCUGUUUCAGGGCACACAGAGCUAACACGGGCCAGGAAACUUGGUCUCACACACUAGCAGCACACUACACUCAGCACAUGCACACAAUCCUGAAAUCAACUCCUCUCAUGUGAGACCUUCAAUAUACUGUAUACAGAACAUCUAGUUGUGGGAAAAAGCGUG
Long non-coding RNA from Myxocyprinus asiaticus (Chinese sucker), 1993 nucleotides. RefSeq lists it as uncharacterized. The transcript is spliced from 3 exons. Lineage: Eukaryota; Metazoa; Chordata; Actinopteri; Cypriniformes; Catostomidae. The record is from RefSeq and is a predicted model, not a curated record.